RNAcentral lists this ribosomal RNA (327 nucleotides) under uncultured eukaryote. RNAcentral's name for it is "partial 18S ribosomal RNA". It matches the Rfam family "Eukaryotic small subunit ribosomal RNA", at positions 1470 to 1796 of the family's 1831-position model. The record is from RNAcentral.
CUCUUAGAUGUUCUGGGCCGCACACGCGCUACACUGAAGGAGGCAGCGUGUACUCCUGGAUCGAAAGAUUUGGGUAACCCGCGAAUCUCCUUCGUGCUAGGGAUUGAGGUUUGCAAUUAUCCUUCAUGAACGAGGAAUUCCCAGUAAGUGCAAGUCAUAAGCUUGCGCUGACUACGUCCCUGCCCUUUGUACACACCGCCCGUCGCUACUACCGAUUGAAUGAUUUAGUGAGGACUUCGGACUGGGACCGAUGCGGCUUUCGGGCUGCGUCGGUAUUCUGGAAAGAUGUCCAAACUGUAUCAUUUAGAGGAAGUAAAANUCGUAACA